Long non-coding RNA from Solea solea (common sole), 804 nucleotides. RefSeq lists it as uncharacterized. The record is from RefSeq and is a predicted model, not a curated record. The transcript is spliced from 3 exons. NCBI's taxonomy places the organism in Eukaryota, Metazoa, Chordata, Actinopteri, Pleuronectiformes, Soleidae.
AUUAAUAUCCAAAACGUUAACAGGUUAGUGUCUGCUCAGCAGGUGGAUGAACAUGUAAUGGAGUUGCAGCAUCAGUCGCUGACCAAGGAAUUACUGGGGAAGUUGGUGGUAGAGGGAGGCUAUUGACAUGUCACAGGAAGAUGCUCAAAAAUGUAGAGCACAUGGAGAAGAUCUCUAUGCUGGCUUUCCAUCCAGUUAAGAUGCACAGCUGCUAUGAGAAGGUGGUGAACCUGAGCCUUGAGGGUCUGCAUCAACAGUUUGACCAAAUGGACAAUGCUGUGUAGAUGUUUGAGCAGAUCCUUCAUCAGAGUCUCGAGUCUCAGGGUACAGAGGAGCUGUGUAAGAUCAUCCAGCACUGCCAGGACAGAGUCAUUAAGGUAAUACCCAAAGAAAACAGGCUUGUGCAUCAAAUUCUUGCAUAACAUCCACAUUAAUAUCUCAUAAUAUUACAUCUGGCAUACUCCAGCCCUGGGAGUGAAACUUUUGGUCUGGCCUUGUUUUAGUGUAAAAGAAAAUUCAGGGUUUUGUUUCACUUCAGAUGAGCACAAAUUAAGACGUCAGGAAACGUAAGUGACUGCCACUGCCUGUGUCACUCCUACACAAGGUGUAGCUAUUGUAAAACAAGAUGUGAGUCAGUAUAUGAAAUCAGUGUUUUUCUCUUUCUCGUUCUUAAAUAUGAUGUCAUCAUCCCAGUUUCUUGAAUGUCUAAUGAACUAAACAUCAUUUAGGGAGAUAACCACGUCCUGUGCCAAAUUAAUAAAAUGCACAUGGAAAGAGUGACACCACUAUUGUUCAUGAAAGAUU